This 846-nucleotide non-coding RNA is filed under the name Enterocytozoon bieneusi H348. RNAcentral's name for it is "Eukaryotic large subunit ribosomal RNA". It matches the Rfam family "Eukaryotic large subunit ribosomal RNA", at positions 838 to 1887 of the family's 3401-position model. The record is from Rfam by way of RNAcentral. Lineage: Eukaryota; Fungi; Microsporidia; Enterocytozoonidae.
UUUUAGGCUUAGAAUCCUAGAGUAAUCCUUUAGUUUGAGGAGCUAAGUUUGUAUUGAUGUUCCAUUCCAUGACAAUGAAUUGUGUAUAGAGUUGUAAGACCAUAUCGUACUGCUUGUAAGUUGUUUCCAGCCGAAAUUUUUCUCAGGACAGCGGUUGUCUUCUAUUAGGAAGAUGCGGUAGAGAGGAUGUCGACCUUUUCAACAAACUCUGAAUGCGUCAUUGUGUUGCGAUUGCAUCCAACAUGAUCAUCUAUAAGACACUAGUGGGCGCCUUGUGGUAAGCAUGCGGCGCAAAAAGGGAUGAACCUAGCAGUGGGGUAAGGUGCCUAAAGGAAAACAAAGAGAAAAAGCGUUUGGCAGAUUAGGACAGUGGGGCGGUGGCCAUGGAGGUCGGCAUCCGCUAAGAAACGUGUUACAACGUACCCACUGAAUCUGCGAAUGCUGAAAAUGGAUGGCGCUUAUUUCCAUACCGAGCCCCACAUGGUACAGCCACGUAGGCCGGCACGUGUGCAUCUGAGAAGACCCGCCGUGAGGUGUGUUGGAGAUGUUCACGGAGCAGAUCUUGGAAGUAGUAGCAUCAUUUGUAUGUGCCAAUGGAGGCGGGUUUGUCCUUUUAAUAGAAGGAAGUGAUACGAGCCUAGUAAAAGGGAAUAUAGUAGAUAUUCUAUAUAGAUGUACCUAUGUGGCGACACGACAGCGACCCCAACGACGUGUGCCGGUGAGAAUUUUCCGGGACACCCAGAUCUUAUGAGCGUCACGCUGAGACUAAGAACGAGUUGGGCGGUGAAAAUGAAGGAACAUCCUCGUACCGAACCGCAACAGGACUCCUAGGGAGAAGCCUAAGGC